RNAcentral lists this ribosomal RNA (252 nucleotides) under uncultured bacterium. Its description in RNAcentral is "partial 16S ribosomal RNA". It matches the Rfam family "Bacterial small subunit ribosomal RNA", at positions 524 to 776 of the family's 1533-position model. The record is from RNAcentral.
UACGAAGGGGGCUAGCGUUGCUCGGAAUCACUGGGCGUAAAGGUGCGUAGGCGGGUCUUUAAGUCAGAGGUGAAAUCCUGGAGCUCAACUCCAGAACUGCCUUUGAUACUGAGGAUCUUGAGUUCGGGAGAGGUGAGUGGAACUGCGAGUGUAGAGGUGAAAUUCGUAGAUAUUCGCAAGAACACCAGUGGCGAAGGCGGCUCACUGGCCCGAUACUGACGCUGAGGCACGAAAGCGUGGGGAGCAAACAGG